This is an RNA transcript of Acinonyx jubatus (cheetah), 5566 nucleotides long. It is a transcript of the gene named KIAA0753 ortholog, with no coding region annotated. The record is from RefSeq and is a predicted model, not a curated record. The transcript is spliced from 4 exons. Lineage: Eukaryota; Metazoa; Chordata; Mammalia; Carnivora; Felidae.
GGCCGGGGCCGGGGGGACUCUGGGAAGCCGCGCCCGGACUCGUGGGCCCGGGGGACAGGAGCCCCUGAGCCGCGGCCGGCCCCGCCGCUCGCGGGCCCCGUCACCGCCGCUCCUGCGGAGCUCGGGGGGCCGGGGCCGAGCGCGUGCGUGCGUGUGUGCGGCGGCCCGGGCGGCGGGCGGGGGGCCGAGCGGGGCGGCGCGGGCGGGCCUGCAGCCAUGAGCGGGGCGGCGGGCCGCUGCGUGGGGCCCAGCCGGCCGGGGCGCGGGCGCGGGAGGCCGUGGGGGAAGAGGGGCGCCGCGGGGGCGCCGCGCGGCCGGGGAGCGGGGCGCCGGGCGACGACCUCGGCGUGGGACACGCGCUGCGUGAGCGCAGAGAGGCUGCGAGACUGUCGGCGGCCCCGGGGGAGGAGAGCGGUGGCCGACGCGGCCGGGGCGGCGGGGGCCAACGGGCCGGAGGCCUCGGAGACCCCCGGCGCCGCAGGCUCGGCGGAGGCCGCGGGGGACCCGGGCGCCGUGUGGGUGGACGGCGCGGUGGGGGAGCCCCAGGUGGUGGGGCCUGUCGGGUCGGUGUGGGUGACGGGCACCGGCGGGGAGGAGGACGGGGCGCCUUACCGGAGCCCCCGGGGCUGUGAGCGGAAAGGCCGCCCGGGAUCCAUGGGGCACGAGAGCAUCCUGGAGCUGUGGCUGAAGGUGCAGGCUAUGCGGGCGGCGGCGGGGUGCGGGGAGGGAAGCAGAGUGGAGCUCCACCCGGUGCCCGCGGGAGAGGGCCCGGUUGACAGGGGCGUCCCCGGCAGGGCCUCCUGGGUGGAGACGAGCCGGGGUGGUCUCACGGGGCCCUGGGUGAAGGGACAGGCUCGGGCAAUGCCCCGGGCCUCGGGAGUGUCCGCAGGCGUUGGGCCCGGGGCGGGUUGUGAGAGGGUCCCAGGCCUGUGCGGGCGGGGACAGGCGGCUGGCCUGCUGCCUGGGGGUGUGCCUGGGAUGGUGCCCUACCUGCUGGGGAGAGGACAGGCCGCGGGGUGGCCCGCGCCUGUGGACAGGGAGAGGGGCUGGGGGAGUGCCCCUGGUCCGUGGGGCAGAGGGCAGUCCCUGCAGGUGCUGGGGGCUCCUGGCCCAGAGACCGUCUGUGGGGACACCCCGGGCUCAUGGAGAGGGGGGCAGGCUUCGAGGGUGCUGCCUGAUGCUGUGGGGGCGCCCGGCAGGGUGGAGGAGGAAGCCAGCUGUGCAGGUGCCCUGGGCGCGUGGCGGAACGGACAGGCCGUGGAGGGGAUGGGGUCUGGGGGUGCUCCUGGCACGUGGGGCACUGGACAGCCCGUGGGGGUGCCUUGCGCUGUUGAAGAGGAAGCUAGAUGUGGGGGUGACCCAGGAUUCAGGGAACGGGGGCAGGCUGUGUGGGUAGAGACCGGCUCUGGAGGGGACCCGGGUUCCUGGGCAGCUGCACACGCCGCAGAGGCAUGCGGUCCUGCCGAGCUGCAGGUGGGCCCUGGAGGCGCUCCAGGCCUGUGGAGUGUGGAGCAGGGCCUGGGGGUGCCCACGGCCCUGGGGAGGGAGACGGGCUGCGGGAGCAUCCCUGGUGUGUGGGGGACCCAGCAGCCGGUGGGGGCAGCGGUGGCGGGACCAGGGGCCCUGGGAGGACAGGCGGGUUACGGGGCUGCCCCAGGCCUGUGGGGUGGGCAGCGGGCCCUGGGGGCGCCGGGGGUGGUUGCGGGGGACACAGGCUGUGGGGGUGUUGUGAGCCUGUGUGACGGGAGGCAGGCUCUGGGGGAGCAGGAGACCCUGCUGCCCGCAGCGUUGGGGGCACCCGGGCCUGCGGGUCAAGAGGCCGGCCCCAGGGAUGUGUCUUGUCUGUGCAGAAGGAGACAGGCAGAGGGGCUGCCUGGGGCCGCAGUCCUGCCCAGGCACAGGUGCGGCCCGGGGGGGUUCGCGAGGGCACCUGCGGCCGUGCCCGCUGCCGUGUGGGUGUCCGGCUCCACGUGCCAGGACGGCGGCUCUCGAGGUGGCUUGAGCCUGUGCGACGGCGUCUCUGCUGCCCUGUUACCCGUGGCUCCCGAGGGGCCGUGGUCUGCGGGGGAGACUGCGGCUUCUGCAGCUUUCCCAGGCCCGUGGGAGGGGGGGCAGGCCAUCGGGGGUCCUGAAGCGCCCGGGCUUGCGGGGCAGGAGACGGGCUCUGGGGGUGUGCCGAGACCUUGGGGACGGAGACCGAGUGCAGGGGCGUCUGCCGCUGCCCCGGUGCCCGUGGCUCCCAGGACGCCCCGGCCGGUCCGGGAGGAGUCCACCCCCGGGGGUGUCGCAGGCCUGUGGGGGGAGAGGGACACGGUGCAAGCACCCGUAGACGCCAGGGGUCCCUCACGGGUGGGGCUGCCCCCCAGCGCCGGGAUGCCUGGGCCCACGGGGGAGAGGCUGGGCCCGGGGGGCCCCUCCGGCUCGCUGGGAGGGGGGCAGGCUGCUGAGAUGCCUGGGGCCGAGGGGGUGCUCACGGCGGCGGGGGCCCCCGGGCCGAUGAUGGCCAAUGCCAGCUGUGGGGAUGUCUUGGGCGUGUGGGGACAGAGACCGGUGACGGAGGGACCUGUGGAUGGCCUGUGGAGGAGAAGAGCCAGCGGGCCGGUCCCUGAGGCUGCCAGGGUGCCCCUGCCUUUGGGGGUGCUCGCGGCUGUGGGGGUGCCCGCAGCGGGGCGCGUGCCUGCCGUGGUGUGGGUGACUGGGUGUGCCGGGGAAGAAGCCGCCGAGGCUGCCGCCGGCCUCCCAGCGUCCAGGACGCCGUCUGCGGAGGGAGCUGGGGCUUCGUGGGGGGAGGCGGGAGGCAGACAGGCAGUGGGGGCGCCUCUUGCCCACGGGUGUGGGACCCGGUCCUGGAGCUGCCCGCGGCCCCCAGGGGAAGAGAGCCACUGUGAGAACGUGCCUGCGGCCUCAGGGACAAGAGGCCCUGUGCCCCCGGUUGCAGGGCAGGAGACGGGUAUCGGCCAUUUCAGAGGUCACCCGCAGCAGAGUGGGGGGGCACAGGCCGGAGGAGCGUCUGCAGUGAGGGUCCGGGGGAGCCCUUUGGGGGAGGACAGGUUGAGGGGGGCCUUCUCAUAGCACGUGUAGGGAACGGGGUGGGGGGUGUCCUGGGCUCUUUGGGAGGGGACAGGCUGGGGAGAGGUUGGUCCUGGGUUGUAGACGGAGGCGCAGGCCGUAGGGGUGUCUUGGGGAUCUGGGACAGAUGCUUUGUGGAGGCUUCCUGGGUCUAUCGGGUGACAAGUUAGGAGGUGUCCUGGAGCAGUGGGGAAGGGACAGGUUGCAGAGAGAGGGGCGUCCCAGGAAUGUGUAUAGGGGAACAGUGGGGUGGGUGUCACUGGACUCUGUGUACGUGUGUGUGUGUGUGUGUGUCAGUCACUCGAGGUAUCCUGCAACGGGGGGGCCGGGGCGGGGGGGGGGGCGGUCACCUAGUGUUUCCCUAGUGCAGCCCUGAGUCCUAGGCCUUUGGCUUCUGGGGAAAGUGUCGGCCACAUAGAACUCGCAGGGCCCCGGCCCCAGCUCUGCGGGCUCCUCCGUUCUGCGGCGGCUGCCCUGGACUGUAGUGACCGUGGUGACAAAAGCCAGUGGGACUGCCUCGCCCCCGUGCCCUCCCGUCUGCGUCGUCGCUCUCGUCUCUGCAGCUGUGGGAACAGGGAAUCUUGAACAGCUGCCCUUCUGUUCCUACACGUGUAUCUGUCUUGAAGCAAAUCCAGUCUACAGACCUUGGGUUUACUCAAAAGCUUAAAUUAGGGAUUUUUUUUUAAAACCUGGAUUUCCCGAUUGAUUUGCUGUAGGAUUCUUUGAGAGCACAAACACACCAGUACGUCUAAAAUGAAUCGGUUUGUGGAAAAUCGGCUUAAUUCAACAGACAUUGAGUUCAAUUAUCUGUUCUGCUCAAAACCCUGUAUUGUGGGGAAUCUCAGAGCAGCAGGACCGGGCCCGGCCCCCCGGGAAGCUGGCACAGCUGGAAGGCUGGGGCCUGGCUGUGAAGUAGGUCAAUAACAGACCGGUGUGUGGUCGGCACGCCACGAGGCAGGCGUGAUCGGCGUCUGAGGAGGCGGUCCGAGACAGCGGGGUGAGCGCGGCCACGUCCCUACAACUCCUGACAAAACGCUUUCCAGGCUGUCAGCUCACGGGGCGACGACCGAUGACCGAUGACUGUAGGUGGGCUCUCGCCAGCGCUCCGCCCUCUGACGGAACGGGCCGGGGCAGGCCGGCUCCCUGCCGUGCUCAUCUAGCCUGGCGUCCCACUGGACAGGAGGAGUGACCAGCCAGCGCCAGACCCAGGUUUCUUGGCACAAGUGAUCAGACGCACGUGUAUCUUGUCAUGAGAGAUCCGUUCCCCGCUCGAAGGGUAGCAGUCACGGACCGUCUUUGUGCACCGGCCCUUUGCACGGAGCAGGGUGUCUCAGCACUGCCUGCUGGGGUUUAGAGAGGGGUGCACACGGAGGCUCACUCUUUCUUCCUUCUUCCAAGUGCUCCCAGCUGACUCGGCCGCUCUCCUACAUGGACCUUCAGUAUUUAUUUCUCUUUGAGAGAGAGAAAGAGUACGCGCACAGGGGAGGUUCAGAGAGAGAGGGAGACCCAGAAUCCGAAGCAGGCUCCAGGCUCCGAGCUGUCAGCACAGAGCCCGACGCGGGGCUCGAACCCACGAACUGGGAGACCGUGACCUGAGCCGAAGUUGGACGCUAACCGACUGAGCACCCAGGCGCCCCUACGGGGGGUUUAUCUGAAAGUGACUCUUUGUCACGUGAUCACACGUGUGCACUUUCUCACGAGAGCCCAGAGGCCGUCCCAGAUUAAAGGCAUCAUGGAGUGUGCACAGACCCUCGGGGCCGUUUGCUGCAUGGGGCCUGUGGUUGUGAAAUCAUUCGUUCCCCUUGACUCAGUAAUCCCAGAACAGGUGUUUCGUCGUAGGAAAUGCUUUAAAAUGAGGGAAAAUAAAUGCGUGGCGAUAUUAAUGGAAGUAAUGUGUCUGUUGGUGGAAAAAUGAGAACCGUGCAAAUGGUUAAUAGGGUUACAGUUCAGCUGAGCAUGAAAAGGCCAUUCAUGGGAGUUUGGAAAGCGCAGCCAUGGAAAAUAAUGAAAACAGUAGGCUACGGAAGUGCCCGUGUUCAUUAAGGGAAAGACAAAACAAAACUCACUUGUGUCAGGAUUAAAACUGACCAAAACUGAAGCCCGCGUAGGAGGCGUGCGGGGACCGUGGGGACCAGGUGUGCUGAGGUGCAGGGCGGGGUGGCGCGGCCAGCAGGUGGGCGGCUGGGCGUCCACAGCGGCGUCAGCCAGGCUCAGCACGGACGGCGGUGCCUCUCCCGGAACCUGGCGCUUGGAGGCGAGGCAGAGACCAGGGCGCGAGGGGCUCUCCGGCCUCCGCGUGGGGCUUUGCCUUUCGGAGGAGGACCCCGCGUGCUGCCGGGCAGCGGCGGGGACACGGGGGAGCCGGGGGCAUGCGAGAGUGGCCGCUUCUGUCCACGCACAAGGAGAAUGCGUCUCAACAGGGACACUCGGGUGGGGAGAGCACACCCUCCCACGUGGCGCAGUGUGUUCUCACGCGCUCCCACCUUUGUUUGCCUUU